GACGUAGGGCGCGAGCGUUGUCCGGAAUUAUUGGGCGUAAAGAGCUCGUAGGCGGUUUGUUGCGUCUAUCGUGAAAACCUGCAGCUUAACUGUGGGCUUGCGGUGGAUACGGGCAGACUUGAGUUCGGUAGGGGAGACUGGAAUUCCUGGUGUAGCGGUGAAAUGCGCAGAUAUCAGGAGGAACACCGGUGGCGAAGGCGGGUCUCUGGGCCGAUACUGACGCUGAGGAGCGAAAGCGUGGGGAGCGAACAGG
This 253-nucleotide ribosomal RNA is filed under the name uncultured bacterium. RNAcentral's name for it is "partial 16S ribosomal RNA". It matches the Rfam family "Bacterial small subunit ribosomal RNA", at positions 524 to 776 of the family's 1533-position model. The record is from RNAcentral.